RNAcentral lists this ribosomal RNA (221 nucleotides) under Bacteroides caecigallinarum. RNAcentral's name for it is "partial 16S ribosomal RNA". It matches the Rfam family "Bacterial small subunit ribosomal RNA", at positions 90 to 311 of the family's 1533-position model. Lineage: Bacteria; Pseudomonadati; Bacteroidota; Bacteroidia; Bacteroidales; Bacteroidaceae. The record is from RNAcentral.
GGCGACCGGCGCACGGGUGAGUAACGCGUAUCCAACCUUCCGUUUACUCGGGGAUAGCCUUUCGAAAGAAAGAUUAAUACCCGAUGGUAUGGUAAGAUUGCAUGGUAAUACCAUUAAAGAUUUAUCGGUAAACGAUGGGGAUGCGUUCCAUUAGGUAGUAGGCGGGGUAACGGCCCACCUAGCCGACGAUGGAUAGGGGUUCUGAGAGGAAGGUCCCCCAC